AAUAGAUACCCGGGUAGUCCACGCCGUAAACGAUGUCUACUCGCUCGCGGCAGUUUCGACCCUGUCGUGGGUUCAGCUAACGCACAAGUAGACCGCCUGGGGAGUACGGUCGCAAGAUUAAAACUCAAAGGAAUUGACGGGGACCCGCACAAGCAGCGGAGCGUGUGGUUUAAUUCGAUGCAACGCGAAGAACCUUACCAGGGCUUGACAUGCAAGCGCACCGGUCAGAGAUGGUCGUGCCCGCAAGGGACGCUUGCACAGGUGCUGCAUGGCUGUCGUCAGCUCGUGCCGUGAGGUGUUGGGUUAAGUCCCCUAACGAGCGCAACCCCUAUCGUUGGUUGUACUUCUCCAGCGAAACUGCCCGUCAGGGAGGAAGGAGGGGAUGACGUCAAGUCAGCACGGCCCUUACGUCCUGGGCGACACACACGCUACAAUGGCAGAGACAGCGGGCUGCGAAGCGGCAACGCGGAGCCAAUCCCACAAACUCUGCCCCAGUUCAGAUCGGGGCUGCAACCGCCCCGUG
Molecule: ribosomal RNA, 523 nt
Filed under: uncultured bacterium
Lineage: Bacteria
Description: bacterial SSU rRNA
Rfam family: Bacterial small subunit ribosomal RNA
Source: RNAcentral